This 1528-nucleotide ribosomal RNA is filed under the name Klebsiella pneumoniae. RNAcentral's name for it is "bacterial SSU rRNA". It matches the Rfam family "Bacterial small subunit ribosomal RNA". The record is from RNAcentral. Lineage: Bacteria; Pseudomonadati; Pseudomonadota; Gammaproteobacteria; Enterobacterales; Enterobacteriaceae.
AGAGUUUGAUCAUGGCUCAGAUUGAACGCUGGCGGCAGGCCUAACACAUGCAAGUCGAGCGGUAGCACAGAGAGCUUGCUCUCGGGUGACGAGCGGCGGACGGGUGAGUAAUGUCUGGGAAACUGCCUGAUGGAGGGGGAUAACUACUGGAAACGGUAGCUAAUACCGCAUAAUGUCGCAAGACCAAAGUGGGGGACCUUCGGGCCUCAUGCCAUCAGAUGUGCCCAGAUGGGAUUAGCUAGUAGGUGGGGUAACGGCUCACCUAGGCGACGAUCCCUAGCUGGUCUGAGAGGAUGACCAGCCACACUGGAACUGAGACACGGUCCAGACUCCUACGGGAGGCAGCAGUGGGGAAUAUUGCACAAUGGGCGCAAGCCUGAUGCAGCCAUGCCGCGUGUGUGAAGAAGGCCUUCGGGUUGUAAAGCACUUUCAGCGGGGAGGAAGGCGUUAAGGUUAAUAACCUUGGCGAUUGACGUUACCCGCAGAAGAAGCACCGGCUAACUCCGUGCCAGCAGCCGCGGUAAUACGGAGGGUGCAAGCGUUAAUCGGAAUUACUGGGCGUAAAGCGCACGCAGGCGGUCUGUCAAGUCGGAUGUGAAAUCCCCGGGCUCAACCUGGGAACUGCAUUCGAAACUGGCAGGCUAGAGUCUUGUAGAGGGGGGUAGAAUUCCAGGUGUAGCGGUGAAAUGCGUAGAGAUCUGGAGGAAUACCGGUGGCGAAGGCGGCCCCCUGGACAAAGACUGACGCUCAGGUGCGAAAGCGUGGGGAGCAAACAGGAUUAGAUACCCUGGUAGUCCACGCCGUAAACGAUGUCGAUUUGGAGGUUGUGCCCUUGAGGCGUGGCUUCCGGAGCUAACGCGUUAAAUCGACCGCCUGGGGAGUACGGCCGCAAGGUUAAAACUCAAAUGAAUUGACGGGGGCCCGCACAAGCGGUGGAGCAUGUGGUUUAAUUCGAUGCAACGCGAAGAACCUUACCUGGUCUUGACAUCCACAGAACUUUGCAGAGAUGGUUUGGUGCCUUCGGGAACUGUGAGACAGGUGCUGCAUGGCUGUCGUCAGCUCGUGUUGUGAAAUGUUGGGUUAAGUCCCGCAACGAGCGCAACCCUUAUCCUUUGUUGCCAGCGGUUCGGCCGGGAACUCAAAGGAGACUGCCAGUGAUAAACUGGAGGAAGGUGGGGAUGACGUCAAGUCAUCAUGGCCCUUACGACCAGGGCUACACACGUGCUACAAUGGCAUAUACAAAGAGAAGCGACCUCGCGAGAGCAAGCGGACCUCAUAAAGUAUGUCGUAGUCCGGAUUGGAGUCUGCAACUCGACUCCAUGAAGUCGGAAUCGCUAGUAAUCGUAGAUCAGAAUGCUACGGUGAAUACGUUCCCGGGCCUUGUACACACCGCCCGUCACACCAUGGGAGUGGGUUGCAAAAGAAGUAGGUAGCUUAACCUUCGGGAGGGCGCUUACCACUUUGUGAUUCAUGACUGGGGUGAAGUCGUAACAAGGUAACCGUAGGGGAACCUGCGGUUGGAUCACCU